CAGCGCGCUAGCGUAUCAAGUGUAUGAGUAUCUAUGGUCGGCACGUCUGGUAGCAUCUCUGGCUGCUGUUGACCUUGUUUUUGGAGUAAAACACGGUGGAAGCUGAAUUAGUGAGGAUGACUCCUGCUCCUGUCAUCUCUAAGCUCCUCACACAUCUUUACCUGCACAUGAGGAAAAUCACUCCUGUAGAAUGCAGAUGUUCAGAUGGAGAUGAUGCCACAUCUGGUCCAGCUGAUGGAAGGUCUUGAAGUUCUCUGACUGGCCUCGACUGAAGAUGGUCGUCUCACUGGAUUUAAGGUUCAGAUGCUCAGUAACAAACUCCACCAAUGAGCCAACAGGGAAGCUUUAGGUUUAUUAAAUGUUGCUAUGAAGGUAUUCGCUGUUUUUCUUUGUGAAUGCAAUGAGCUCCAACUGAAAGUUGAAUUAGAACUUAGAAGUAAAUCCUUCCAUCUGAAAGGAUUUAGUUGCAUUAAUAACCUCAUAACAUUCUAAUUUUCAUUCCAGUCUUGGUUGAAAAUAUAAUCUCUGUAUUGAUUCAGGUAAAAACUGAACUUCACAGCAUGUUGGAGCAAAACAACCAGAUGAAAACUGUGAUGGUGUUGGAUUGUCAGACCGUAAUGUUGCAGCUCAAAGCAGCUUUUCUAGCUCAGUUCAUUCUGACAUUCAGCUAUGAAUCAACACAGCAGAUGGUGAUCCAUGCUGUGGAAGUCUCACAUCUCCUGAUUUAAUGGAGCUGCUUUGCACUUUUUACACUGUUUAUUCACCAACACUUUAUUUAAUAAAGGUCCCAUCUAGUUUUUAUGAGGAAUGUGAUGUUUUAAUUUCUCUGUGAAUAACUGCAGUCUAAUGGAACAGCUGGAGUUGUAACAUCUGUCCUGAUAUUGAUCAUGAAGUAUUGAUCAGAAUACUUAUGGUCAGCAGUCAUCCCUGAAGUUUUACAUUAAAAUCUUUACUUGUGUUGUGAACUUUGGUAAGAAGCAGAAACUUUUGCGUUGCCAUGGAUACAUGAGUGUUAAAUUCUGUCCAUGUUUCCAUUUUGGGAAAUUCAGUCCAGUUCCAGAAUGUGGAGGAAUUUAGUCUCACAAUCACAGACAACAAAUAUUAUCUGAAAGUGGGGUUAUUGUUGUUUAUCAGCACAAUACAAAAAGAUUAAUGU
Long non-coding RNA from Amphiprion ocellaris (clown anemonefish), 1156 nucleotides. Lineage: Eukaryota; Metazoa; Chordata; Actinopteri; Pomacentridae. The record is from Ensembl.